GAGUUUGAUCCUGGCUCAGGGUGAACGCUGGCGGUGCGUCUAAUGCAUGCAAGUCGAGCUGAGAACCUCGGGUUCUGCCCGGGGGGAAAGCGGCUGAACGGCUGAGUAACUGCGUGAGUAACCUGUCCCUGAGUGGGGUAUAACCUGGAGAGAUCCAGGCUAAUCCCGCAUACGAUCCCCGGACCCUGGUCUUGGGAGGAAACCCGCUUGCGGGGCUCUAGGAGGGGCUCGCGUUCUAUCAGGUAGUUGGUGGGGUAACGGCUCACCAAGCCGAAGACGGAUAGCUGGUCUGAGAAGAUGGUCAGCCAGAGGGAGACUGAGACACGGUUCCCACUCCUACGGGAGGCAGCAGCAAAGAAUUUUGGGCAAUGGGCGAAAGCCUGACCCAGCGACACCGCGUGGGGGAUGAAGGCCCUAGGGUCGUAAACCCCUUUUUCAAGGGAAGAGUAAGGACGGUACCUUGAGAAUAAGCCCCGGCUAACUACGUGCCAGCAGCCGCGGUAACACGUAGGGGGCAAGCGUUGUCCGGAUUUAUUGGGCGUAAAGAGCUCGUAGGCGGUUGCGUAAGUCGGAUGUGAAAACUCAGGGCUCAACCCGGAGACGCCAUUCGAUACUGCGCUGACUAGAGUCCGGUAGGGGAGCAUGGAAUUCCUGGUGUAGCAGGUGAAAUGCGCAGAUAUCAGGAGGAACACCAGUGGCGAAGGCGGUGCUCUGGGCCAGGUACUGACCGCUGAGGAGCGAAAGCGUGGGUAGCGAACAGGAUUAGAUACCCUGGUAGUC
This 780-nucleotide ribosomal RNA is filed under the name uncultured Actinomycetes bacterium. RNAcentral's name for it is "bacterial SSU rRNA". It matches the Rfam family "Bacterial small subunit ribosomal RNA", at positions 9 to 795 of the family's 1533-position model. Lineage: Bacteria; Bacillati; Actinomycetota; Actinomycetes. The record is from RNAcentral.